GUAAACCUCUUUUCUCAGGGAAUAACACAGUGAAGGUACCUGAGGAAUCAGCAUCGGCUAACUCCGUGCCAGCAGCCGCGGUAAUACGGAGGAUGCAAGCGUUAUCCGGAAUGAUUGGGCGUAAAGCGUCCGUAGGUGGAUAUUCAAGUCURUUGUCAAAGCACAAGGCUUAACCUUGUAAAGGCAGUGGAAACUGAAAGACUCGAGUGCAGGUAGGGGUAGAGGGAAUUCCCGGUGUAGCGGUGAAAUGCGUAGAGAUCGGGAAGAACACCAGUGGCGAAAGC
RNAcentral lists this ribosomal RNA (284 nucleotides) under uncultured Chroococcidiopsis sp. RNAcentral describes it as "partial 16S ribosomal RNA". It matches the Rfam family "Bacterial small subunit ribosomal RNA", at positions 425 to 722 of the family's 1533-position model. Lineage: Bacteria; Bacillati; Cyanobacteriota; Cyanophyceae; Chroococcidiopsidales; Chroococcidiopsidaceae. The record is from RNAcentral.